GUCAGACAAAGGCAAACUCAUUGAAAGAUGGGGACGCAAAGUCACAGGUCUAAGGCAAGAGAAAACUUGUUAGGAUGGCUGGGCUGCCUGA
Molecule: non-coding RNA, 91 nt
Filed under: Bacillus sp. (in: firmicutes)
Lineage: Bacteria; Bacillati; Bacillota; Bacilli; Caryophanales; Bacillaceae
Description: Bacillus sp. c-di-GMP sequence
Rfam family: c-di-GMP-I riboswitch aptamer
About the family: GEMM was predicted in a large-scale screen for bacterial structured RNA regulatory elements.
Source: RNAcentral